Myotis lucifugus (little brown bat) is the source of this 2197-nucleotide long non-coding RNA. RefSeq lists it as uncharacterized. The transcript is spliced from 4 exons. NCBI's taxonomy places the organism in Eukaryota, Metazoa, Chordata, Mammalia, Chiroptera, Vespertilionidae. The record is from RefSeq and is a predicted model, not a curated record.
CUCCCCAGCCGGGCAGUGAAUACAUUCCACCUGCGAAAGGGCGCAGGACUUUCAAGACCCCAAAGAAACGCCGAGGGGCCUAGGGAGCACUGCAAGUAAAAGGAAAGAACCAAACCCUGUGUUUGAGUACUCUGCAGGGAUCACCUGACGAAAAAGUGCUGGAAUAGCCAUAAAGCCAGGCAUUCACAACUGUGAUCCAUAUCCAGUGGAUUGAGAAGAAAGAGGAACCUAUGGAGGCUGAGCCUAUGAGAAGCCUGAAGACACAGGAAAUAUACUGUUACCUAAGGAAUGGUUGAAUUCAUCAUGUAGUCCAAAGGCUGUAGAAUAUUGAGAUGGGAUUGUGACAGAACUGAAGAGGUCAUAAUAAACCAGAGGUCCUGGACUUGAAGACCAGUAUCUCACUUCUGUGUGCGGUGGCUGGAAAUGACCGGUUGUCUCCCAUUGAAGUUACGUGAGGAUUGGUUGGAUCAUGUGCUAUGAGUAUUUCCUUUGGAUAUCAGGGAGAAAAGGUAUGAGUGUGUGUGUGAGUGUGUGUGUGUGUGUGUGUGUGUGUGUGUGUGUGUGUGAAAAGUCUUCAUUAUAUAUGAGAAAUUUUAGGCCUCAAGAAAAUAUAGAUGGAAGUCCACUUACUUUUCAUGUGGGGGACUGCUGGCCUACUGUGCCCCAGAAAAUUCAUAUAACCUUUGGUUGGCUUGUUUUGCCCAGUGAUUUUUGAGAUAAUAAAAAUUAUGUUGUUCUUCCUUCCUUUCUUCCAUCCAUCCUUCUGUCCCUCCCUCCCCUCAGCCACUUGUUUAUUAAAUAUUCAUUGAUAACCCAGAAGACUGUGAAAGUCAGAGGCUGGGAAGACACAACCACAGACCCUCAUUCCUCUUACUAUCCAAUAAAUGCAGAGACAGCCUAGCUCUGCAGCUGGUGUGAUUUGGUACAGUUCUGGUCAGAUGUUUAGCCCAAGAUUAUAAAAAAUAAAACAGAACCAAAAGAAAGCCUGCAUUUUACUUUAAUACCAGUUCUGCAGUUAAUCAGAAGCACUUUAACCUUGAAUGUUUAAAGGACUAGUUACUUCAAAGCAUGUGUAAGUGAUGUUAGGAUGCAAAUAUGAAAUGAGUCCUUGCUGUCUGGCACAAUUGUCAUCGUGUUUAGUGUCACACUUGUGGGUGAAGAUAAGGUGUCACUUUGUUCCUCUCCACGCAAUUUUGAGUUUGGCAAUUUUGAGUUUCCGUUGUAAAGACCAGAUUAAGUAUGUCAGGAAAGUAGGCACCUGCCAGGGAAGAGGAAAGUAUUAACUAUUUCAGGCCACUAAUAAAAUAUGACAUUUGCUGCAGAGGUAAAUUAGCAAAUUAUGCUCAUGGUGCCAUGGACAAAUUAAUGUCCCUUUAAAAAGUUUGAAUUAUUUGCCUCAUAAAAAUGACCACCCCCCUCCCCAAUUUUCAAAGUUAAGAGUUCCUCUUUCAAAGGAAGAGCUUUAUGAUGUUUAGUUUUCUCUCCAUUAUCAAAAAGAAAAGGGAUUUAGUAAGGAAGAUAAUAUCAUUCUUUGAUCUUUGUUGAUGCUGUGUCAUCUUAUAGAUUGUUUGAAAAGACUUGGAACAACAUGAAGCACUUUGAUGGAGAGAUACGUAAUUUUUUAAAUGUUAUUUUUUUCUUUGACCUUUCAUCUUCCAUAUACUAGUUACUGUAAACACAAUUUAAAAAUCAUAAGUUGAAAUUCUUUAUUUAGAUUUAGCUCUCCAUAAGGAAUUCAACAAAAAGCAAAUGCCAACUCUAGAUAAACCUUUCAUAUGCAUAGGCCAUACGAUGGUGUGUGUGUUUUCUAUAAAAUAAAUGUCACUUGCAGCUGUUAACCCACAUUACUCCAGGAAAUUUCCUAAUGGUUGUUUUAGACAUUUUCUCUUUCUGUAAAUCUAUUACUGUGAAACUAAUUCCUUCCUGACUUCCUGUUGUGUUUCUCUACUAUUGCAUUAUUGGUAUUUAUUGUGUUGGUAUGCUCUGUCUUUAUAAAUUAAUUUUGUCUUUUUAUUUUUAAUUUUUUUCAAUGCUCUUCAUUUUUUUCAACUUAUACUAGAAUUUUUAUGAUUAAUUCACACUUAAAUGAGAUUUAUUGUUUGCAAAAUUUAAUUAAAAUUUCCUACUUCCUCAAUACAUUAAAACUAAUUAUUCUUGGAUUUUAAUAUUUCCUAUUAGUUCAAAUCAAUAAUGGAGA